UCGGAGGUCCGACUUCCCGACGUAGCUUCCUCUCUAAACCCCCACCCCCGUACGGACCUCACCACAAUGGUGACAAUUGGUGGCGGGCGUAGAAGGGCAAUAACAAAGCACUGCUCUUUGGGACUUAAAAGACGAUCCAGACCCAUCCGCAACAGCCUGGUGUUUAAAUCAGCACAUCACAAAUAGGCACCUUGAACUGCACUUGCCGACAAGCCGUCUAUCUCUGAUAAAGCUCGAACAACAACAAGGGAGGCCUCGUCGGCUGAACACACGCAAGCCACGCUUUCAUCUGCCGGCGUCUGCUGACUCUCAACUAGUACACGCAAGCUUUCGACAUGGAUGUUUGCUGUUUUUCGGACACGGCUCAUUGGCUUUAAAACCCGGUGAACGUCUUUUGGCGAGCAGGAUGGAUCAGGCGAGGAGCAACGUGGAUUAAUAAGGCCCAUCAAGGUUUGACGGUGCACUCACAAUUUAAUCGGCCGAGCGGUCAGAAGCAGACAAGCAGGGAAGGGGAAAUUGAGAGGCGGUUGUCUUCAUUUCUAUGAUUUAGUUUGUCAGUUUGGGUGAAUGCUGCUGUCGGCGUUUGAUUGCUGUGGACUGGCUGAGACAAAGAAGACAAAACACUCUUCGAAUCAACUCAAUUUGCCAUAUAAGGUCCAGGCAGCUCGAAUGUUAAAAUAUAUACAGUGGACACCCGCAUAUUCACGGUUCAGUAUUUGUAAAUUCACCUACUUGCGGAUUUUUUGGGUGGAAGAUACCCCUCGUUAUUCAAGGAAAACUCCGCUUAUUCACAUUUUAUUUCAUGGCAAUUAUGAGGGAGCCUCAAUUAUUCGUGAAUU
Long non-coding RNA from Phyllopteryx taeniolatus (common seadragon), 839 nucleotides. RefSeq lists it as uncharacterized. The transcript has 3 exons. NCBI's taxonomy places the organism in Eukaryota, Metazoa, Chordata, Actinopteri, Syngnathiformes, Syngnathidae. The record is from RefSeq and is a predicted model, not a curated record.